GACGAACGCUGGCGGCGUGCUUAACACAUGCAAGUCGAACGGAAGGGCCCUGCUUUUGUGGGGUGCUCGAGUGGCGAACGGGUGAGUAACACGUGAGUAACCUGCCCUUGACUUUGGGAUAACUUCAGGAAACUGGGGCUAAUACCGGAUAGGAGCUCCUGCUGCAUGGUGGGUGUUGGAAAGUUUCGGCGGUUGGGGAUGGACUCGCGGCUUAUCAGCUUGUUGGUGGGGUAGUGGCUUACCAAGGCUUUGACGGGUAGCCGGCCUGAGAGGGUGACCGGCCACAUUGGGACUGAGAUACGGCCCAGACUCCUACGGGAGGCAGCAGUGGGGAAUAUUGCACAAUGGGCGGAAGCCUGAUGCAGCAACGCCGCGUGCGGGAUGACGGCCUUCGGGUUGUAAACCGCUUUCGCCUGUGACGAAGCGUGAGUGACGGUAAUGGGUAAAGAAGCACCGGCUAACUACGUG
Molecule: ribosomal RNA, 468 nt
Filed under: uncultured bacterium
Lineage: Bacteria
Description: partial 16S ribosomal RNA
Rfam family: Bacterial small subunit ribosomal RNA
Source: RNAcentral